GUGCCAGCCGCCGCGGUAAUACGGGGGGUGCAAGCGUUAAUCGGAAUUACUGGGCGUAAAGGGUUCGUAGGUGGUUUAGUAAGUUAUGUGUGAAAUUCCUGGGCUCAACCUGGGGUGGUCAGAUAAAACUGCUAGACUAGAGUAUAGGAGAGGGUAGUGGAAUUUCCGGUGUAGCGGUGAAAUGCGUAGAUAUCGGAAGGAACACCAGUGGCGAAGGCGACUACCUGGCCGGAUACUGACACUGAGGGACGAAAGCGUGGGGAGCAAACAGGAUUAGAUACCCUGGUAGUCCACGCUGUAAACGAUGUCAACUAGGUGUUGGCCAUAUAGAAGUGGCUAGUGCCGAAGCUAACGCGAUAAGUUGACCGCCUGGGGAGUACGGUCGCAAGAUUAAAACUCAAAUGAAUUGACGG
This 413-nucleotide ribosomal RNA is filed under the name uncultured bacterium. RNAcentral's name for it is "bacterial SSU rRNA". It matches the Rfam family "Bacterial small subunit ribosomal RNA", at positions 505 to 916 of the family's 1533-position model. The record is from RNAcentral.